Onychostoma macrolepis is the source of this 727-nucleotide long non-coding RNA. RefSeq lists it as uncharacterized. Lineage: Eukaryota; Metazoa; Chordata; Actinopteri; Cypriniformes; Cyprinidae. The transcript is spliced from 3 exons. The record is from RefSeq and is a predicted model, not a curated record.
ACGCCCUUUACAAUGUCGUCAUCACGGCAGCCGCUUCGGGCUCGCGGCGGAGGGUAGAGGAUUUCUGACAUACGGCCCGGUAUAUUUUCACAAAAUAUUAAACUGUACGAAUGACCAUCCACAUUGCAUUCGGCUAACAUCGGCGAUCCUCUGAAGAAGGAAAAUGGUUCAGAAAAAGUGGGGGUGGGGUGAGUGAGGGCUGCUGUGAGGACCCUACACUGUGGGGCAGCCACACACUGAAUGGUGUCUCCCACAAUGAAAGCGUUGGUGGAUGCAGUCUGGGCGGUAUGGAGCAUCGGGGCCUCAAUAUAUGACUACAUCCACACCAGUGCCAUGGAAGAACGCAUUCACUCACUGGAGAGUGCUAUAACUAUCCACCAGUGUGUCAUUGGCCUGCUCUCUGCUGGACUUGUGGCCCUCUUCACCUACAUUCUGCUAAGGAAGCACUGACCCAGCAUUUCAGACAUGUUUUUGUAUGCAAGACUACAUCGGUGACAUCAGGGGGAAUUCUUGAACCAUGUUGAUGCCAAGCUUUGUUCAGUUCAUUUUAAAGGGAUUUUAACAUAUCUGACUUUGACCUAAUUGAUUAUUUACUAAACUUUAUUAGUUUCCAAUUCUGUUAAAAUUUCACUACUGUAUUAUCUGGGUUGAUGUGAUUAAGUGUAAUCUGGUAAACCAAAAUAAGCGUAUCUCUAAAUUAAAAGUAGUCUUCCACCAUGACUUAUAA